This 257-nucleotide ribosomal RNA is filed under the name uncultured bacterium. RNAcentral describes it as "partial 16S ribosomal RNA". It matches the Rfam family "Bacterial small subunit ribosomal RNA", at positions 524 to 776 of the family's 1533-position model. The record is from RNAcentral.
UACGUAGGGAGCAAGCGUUAUCCGGAAUUAUUGGGCGUAAAGAGCUCGUAGGCGGUUUGUCGCGUCUGCCGUGAAAGUCCGGGGCUCAACUCCGGAUCUGCGGUGGGUACGGGGCAGACUAGAGUGAUGUAGGGGGAGACUGGAAUUCCUGGUGUAGCGGUGGAAUGCGCAGAUAUCAGGAGGAACACCGGUGGCGAAGGCGGGGUCUCUGGGCAGUAACUGACGCUGAGGAGCGAAAGCGUGGGGGAGCGAACAGG